GACUGGACUGAAGCCAACGUUCUUUAAAAGUUCACAUGCCUUGUAUUGGCUUUCUAAUUUAGACUCCUUCUGACCAAACAAAGCUGGGGGGUGGGGGAAUGAAACAUAGUAGCAGCAGUUUCAGUAGAAAAUUCUAAGGGUUAACAUAACAUGAUGUAAACUAUUUCAUCUGUUCUUCCUACUUGCCCAUUUUAAUCAGAAAUGAGUAAGUAGAGUCUUAAAUGCAGUGAACUCGAAGAAUGCUAAUGGGAUGUCUGCAUCGUGUUGUACUCUGAGUACUUAUGCCAGAAUAGGAAAGCCUUUUAUUCUGUAAUUCUCCGAGGCAAGAAAGAGGCUUUCUGAGGAGUUUCUUUAAAUUUAAACUCUCAUUCUAAUGUUAGACAGCCUGUUAGAUCUCUGAGUUAAAAAUUGCUUCAGCUUUAGUUACUAGAGCCAGAUGUAACAUUGACCUUAAAUGGUAAAAGCUCCCAAGAGUGAAAGAGAGGCUGGCCUGAGGGGAAAAAGAGGAAUAACUGAAGUUUUAGUGCUGACCCUGCUUCAGGGAGGAGGUUGCUCCCAAUGACCUUCCAACCUGAAGAAUUCCUUAAUUCUGGGAAUUGAUCCUCUAGUCUGACCAUCAUACGGUAACAUAGCAUUUGAGGUCAACUGCCAAGCUGUCAGUGGAGAUGGAGUAAAGCACCUUUAUCUAAGCUUUCACUAACACGACACUCAGCUGUGACUCAGAG
Phalacrocorax carbo (great cormorant) is the source of this 725-nucleotide non-coding RNA. The record is from RefSeq and is a predicted model, not a curated record. Lineage: Eukaryota; Metazoa; Chordata; Aves; Suliformes; Phalacrocoracidae.